This 742-nucleotide ribosomal RNA is filed under the name Weissella cibaria. Its description in RNAcentral is "bacterial SSU rRNA". It matches the Rfam family "Bacterial small subunit ribosomal RNA", at positions 52 to 747 of the family's 1533-position model. The record is from RNAcentral. Lineage: Bacteria; Bacillati; Bacillota; Bacilli; Lactobacillales; Lactobacillaceae.
GACGAUGCAAGUCGAACGCUUUGUGGUUCAACUGAUUUGAAGAGCUUGCUCAGAUAUGACGAUGGACAUUGCAAAGAGUGGCGAACGGGUGAGUAACACGUGGGAAACCUACCUCUUAGCAGGGGAUAACAUUUGGAAACAGAUGCUAAUACCGUAUAACAAUAGCAACCGCAUGGUUGCUACUUAAAAGAUGGUUCUGCUAUCACUAAGAGAUGGUCCCGCGGUGCAUUAGUUAGUUGGUGAGGUAAUGGCUCACCAAGACGAUGAUGCAUAGCCGAGUUGAGAGACUGAUCGGCCACAAUGGGACUGAGACACGGCCCAUACUCCUACGGGAGGCAGCAGUAGGGAAUCUUCCACAAUGGGCGAAAGCCUGAUGGAGCAACGCCGCGUGUGUGAUGAAGGGUUUCGGCUCGUAAAACACUGUUGUAAGAGAAGAAUGACAUUGAGAGUAACUGUUCAAUGUGUGACGGUAUCUUACCAGAAAGGAACGGCUUAAUACGUGCCAGCAGCCGCGGUAAUACGUAUGUUCCAAGCGUUAUCCGGAUUUAUUGGGCGUAAAGCGAGCGCAGACGGUUAUUAAAGUCUGAAGUGAAAGCCCUCAGCUCAACUGAGGAAAUGCUUUGGAAACUGGAUGACUUGAGUGCAGUAGAGGAAAGUGGAACUCCAUGUGUAGCGGUGAAAUGCGUAGAUAUAUGGAAGAACACCAGUGGCGAAGGCGGCUUUCUGGACUGUAACUGAGCUU